GAGAUAUGUUCUGUGGAAACCAUUAGCGCUAAAACUGACAAGAGGCUAGAAAGAGGUAGCACACAGUAAGUUUCUGAUGAAAAUGAAUUUCAUGGUCUUACACAUAAAAUCCCCUAUGUACAUUACUGCAUUCAUGAUAAUUCUACUUUUUUCUGUCAUGUUGACAGGCAAAAAAAAAAA
Long non-coding RNA from Sapajus apella (tufted capuchin), 180 nucleotides. RefSeq lists it as uncharacterized. The record is from RefSeq and is a predicted model, not a curated record. The transcript has 2 exons. NCBI's taxonomy places the organism in Eukaryota, Metazoa, Chordata, Mammalia, Primates, Cebidae.